This is a long non-coding RNA of Pseudomyrmex gracilis, 496 nucleotides long. RefSeq lists it as uncharacterized. The record is from RefSeq and is a predicted model, not a curated record. NCBI's taxonomy places the organism in Eukaryota, Metazoa, Arthropoda, Insecta, Hymenoptera, Formicidae. The transcript is spliced from 2 exons.
AUUUAUUAGUUAUUUUAUAUUAGUUAUUUUAAAGAUUAGAUUUAGAAAAUAAUUUAGUGGAACAUUGAACAUCAUUUUUCUGUCUGCACGGAAAAUCUGUCAUCUCUUACUCAUCUCUUUGAUAUCUAUAUAAUGAUGAGAUAAUUCCAACAAGAUUAUAAUUAAGUAUUCCUGAAUUUUUUGAAGAUUCGAUUGUUGACGAGGAAAAUACUUUUAAAUAAUAUUUCUGAGUCGAAUAUUGAUGAUGCUUUUUUGUCACAGGCUACGACAUUUCGGCAUGUUAUCGAGAUCUUAAAUCGUCGUUUGACACAUGUGUGUGUGACACGAUGUCAUAAGAAAGUUGGUGUCUUCCAGGAACCGAAAAAAUUUAGAAUCUAUUCAAAGAAGUACUUACCACGAAGCACGUCGGCGGGUAUCAAUCUUCGGAAAGUUUUCGGUCGGUCUUGUUCUACGGCUUCCUGAGCGACGACGAUGGCAACAACGGCACAAAGGAAAA